Molecule: ribosomal RNA, 640 nt
Filed under: uncultured bacterium
Lineage: Bacteria
Description: bacterial SSU rRNA
Rfam family: Bacterial small subunit ribosomal RNA
Source: RNAcentral
UACUUUGCUGACGAGUGGCGAACGGGUGAGUAAUAUAUAGGUUACGUGCCUCUUAGACUGGGAUAGCCACUGGAAACGGUGAUUAAUACUGGAUAUUCCUACUUGUAGGGAAAGCUUUUGCGCUAAGAGAUCGGCCUAUACUGUAUCAGCUUGUUGGUGAGGUAAUGGCUCACCAAGGCGAUGACACAUAGCGGGUUUGAGAGGAUGAUCCGCCACACUGGUACUGAGACACGGACCAGACUCCUACGGGAGGCAGCAGUGAGGAAUAUUGCACAAUGGGGGAAACCCUGAUGCAGCAACGCCGCGUGGAGGAUGACGCAUUUCGGUGUGUAAACUCCUUUUAUCAGAGAAGAAAAUGACGGUAUCUGAUGAAUAAGCUCCGGCUAACUCCGUGCCAGCAGCCGCGGUAAUACGGAGGGAGCAAGCGUUAUUCGGAAUCACUGGGCGUAAAGGACGCGUAGGCGGGUUAUUAAGUCUGAUGUGAAAUCCUAUGGCUCAACCAUAGAACUGCAUUGGAAACUGAUAACCUAGAGUAUGGAAGGGGAAAAUGGAAUUAGUGGUGUAGGGGUAAAAUCCGUAGAUAUCACUAGGAAUACCGAAAGCGAAGGCGAUUUUCUGGGACAUUACUGACGCUGAGGCG